RNAcentral lists this ribosomal RNA (484 nucleotides) under uncultured bacterium. Its description in RNAcentral is "partial 16S ribosomal RNA". It matches the Rfam family "Bacterial small subunit ribosomal RNA", at positions 30 to 507 of the family's 1533-position model. The record is from RNAcentral.
AUUGAACGCUGGCGGCAGGCCUAACACAUGCAAGUCGAGCGGAUGAAGGGAGCUUGCUCCUGGAUUCAGCGGCGGACGGGUGAGUAAUGCCUAGGAAUCUGCCUGGUAGUGGGGGAUAACGUCCGGAAACGGGCGCUAAUACUGCAUACGUCCUGAGGGAGAAAGUGGGGGAUCUUCGGACCUCUCGCUAUCAGAUGAGCCUAGGUCGGAUUAGCUAGUUGGUGGGGUAAAGGCCUACCAAGGCGACGAUCCGUAACUGGUCUGAGAGGAUGAUCAGUCACACGGGAGGUUGGACACGGUCCAUGCUCCUGCGGGAGGCAGCAGUCUGCAACAUUGGGCAAUGGGGGAAAGUCUUGUCCAGCCAUGCCACGUGUGUGAAGAAGGUCCUCGGAUUGUAAAGAACUUCAAGUUGGGAGGAAGGGCAUUAAGUUAAUACGUUGCUUUUGUGACGUUAAUAACAGAAUAAGCACCGGCUAACUUCGUG